UGGACAGCUGGCAGCGUUCUACCUGUUCUCCUUUGUCUGGGGCUGCAGUAUCCUGACAGCGGAGGACUUUGCAACAAACCCCACGUUCUUAUGGGAGGGCUACCCACACACUCGCAUGGUUUUUCAGGUCAAGUUCUUCUACAUUUGCCAAAUUGCCUAUUGGCUCCACGCUCUUCCUGAGCUCUACUUUCAGAAAGUGCGAAAGGUAAGGUCUUAUUUGUUUGGGAUU
Oryzias melastigma (Indian medaka) is the source of this 229-nucleotide long non-coding RNA. RefSeq lists it as uncharacterized. The transcript is spliced from 3 exons. The record is from RefSeq and is a predicted model, not a curated record. NCBI's taxonomy places the organism in Eukaryota, Metazoa, Chordata, Actinopteri, Beloniformes, Adrianichthyidae.